GAUGAACGCUGACAGAAUGCUCAACACAUGCAAGUCGAUGGGGAAGUGGUGCUUGCACCAUGGCAACCAUGGCGGACGGGUGAGUAACGCGUAAGGGACUUACCUGCAGGACUGGGAUAACAGGGGGAAACUCCUGACAAGACCGGAUAAUGUCAUGGAGCUGCAUGGCUUUAUGAUGAAAGGAGACGCCUGCGGAGAGCCUUGCGUCCUAUUAGCUAGUUGGUGAGGUAAUGGCUCACCAAGGCGAAGAUAGGUAGCCGGCCUGAGAGGGUGGACGGCCACAAGGGGAAUGAGAUACGGCCCUUACUCCUACGGGAGGCAGCAGUGGGGAAUAUUGGACAAUGGGGGCAACCCUGAUCCAGCAAUUCUGUGUGCACGAAGAAGGUUUUCGGAUUGUAAAGUGCUUUCAGCAGGGAAGAAGUAAGUGACGGUACCUGCAGAAGAAGCGACGGCUAAAUACGUG
Molecule: ribosomal RNA, 463 nt
Filed under: uncultured bacterium
Lineage: Bacteria
Description: partial 16S ribosomal RNA
Rfam family: Bacterial small subunit ribosomal RNA
Source: RNAcentral